AUGAACGCUGGCGGCGUGCCUAAUACAUGCAAGUCGAGCGAACGGACGAGAAGCUUGCUUCUCUGAUGUUAGCGGCGGACGGGUGAGUAACACGUGGAUAACCUACCUAUAAGACUGGGAUAACUUCGGGAAACCGGAGCUAAUACCGGAUAAUAUUUUGAACCGCAUGGUUCAAAAGUGAAAGACGGUCUUGCUGUCACUUAUAGAUGGAUCCGCGCUGCAUUAGCUAGUUGGUAAGGUAACGGCUUACCAAGGCAACGAUGCAUAGCCGACCUGAGAGGGUGAUCGGCCACACUGGAACUGAGACACGGUCCAGACUCCUACGGGAGGCAGCAGUAGGGAAUCUUCCGCAAUGGGCGAAAGCCUGACGGAUCAACGCCGCGUGAGUGAUGAAGGUCUUCGGAUCGUAAAACUCUGUUAUUAGGGAAGAACAUAUGUGUAAGUAACUGUGCACAUCUUGACGGUACCUAAUCAGAAAGCCACGGCUAACUACGUG
Molecule: ribosomal RNA, 496 nt
Filed under: uncultured bacterium
Lineage: Bacteria
Description: partial 16S ribosomal RNA
Rfam family: Bacterial small subunit ribosomal RNA
Source: RNAcentral